This 758-nucleotide ribosomal RNA is filed under the name uncultured fungus. RNAcentral's name for it is "eukaryotic LSU rRNA". It matches the Rfam family "Eukaryotic large subunit ribosomal RNA", at positions 37 to 652 of the family's 3401-position model. The record is from RNAcentral. Lineage: Eukaryota; Fungi.
AGCAUAUUAAUAAGGGGAGGAAAAGAAAAUAACAAUGAUUCCCCUAGUAACGGCGAGUGAAGCGGGAAGAGCUCAAAUUGAAAAUCGGCUACCCAAGCGGGUUGUCGAAUUGUAGCCUAGAGACACGUUGUCAGUGUGUGACCCAGGUAUAAGUCUUUUGAAACAAGGCAUCACAGAGGGUGAGAAUCCCGUCUUUGAUCUGGAGUUCGCCACGUACGACGCGUGUUCAUCGAGUCGAGUUGUUUGGGAUUGCAGCUCUAAAUGGCGGGUAAAUUUCCGCUAAAGCUAAAUAUUGACAUGACACCGAUAGCGAACAAGUACCGUGAGGGAAAGAUGAAAAGAACUUUGAAAAGAGAGUUAAAAAGUACUUGAAAUUGUUAAGAGGGAAGCGCUGGAAACCAGUCUAUAUGCGACUAUUUUGGUGCUGAUCGUGGGGUCUGUGGUAUGUGCUGUGGCCAAACCUGCACGUGUUACAGGUCUUACGGUUGGUACUUUCAGUUGUCGCAUUCGAGUCAGAAUCAAUUCGGUUCGUGUGAGAAGGCUGUGGGGAAGGUAGGGUAAGCAAUUACCUGAAGCCCUGUUGCUCUAACAUGGACUGGAUUGAGGAAGUAAUAACGCGCCUGCUGGCUUCAUCUAGUGGCUCCUGCUGGCUGAGUGAGGUUAGGAUAGCAAUGCUAUACGAUCUCACUUGGUUGGUACUGGGUUAUUAGAUGCUAUGCGUUAUCACGAUUCUGACGAAAUGGUUUUCAUCGACCCGU